Non-coding RNA from Gossypium hirsutum (cotton), 107 nucleotides. Lineage: Eukaryota; Viridiplantae; Streptophyta; Magnoliopsida; Malvales; Malvaceae. The record is from Rfam.
AUUCCAUGAUGAGGGCACUUCUGUAAUAAUUUUCUAUACCUUUUCCAUGCCUCAUUCAAGGACUCAUCAUCCAUUUGUUGGAAGGCAGUGAUCUCGUUUCUCAACUU